Molecule: ribosomal RNA, 430 nt
Filed under: Lactiplantibacillus plantarum
Lineage: Bacteria; Bacillati; Bacillota; Bacilli; Lactobacillales; Lactobacillaceae
Description: bacterial SSU rRNA
Rfam family: Bacterial small subunit ribosomal RNA
Source: RNAcentral
AAGGCCUCGAUGCGAGCACCCCCGCGUGAGUGAAGAAGGGUUUCGGCUCGUAAAACUCUGUUGUUGAAGAAGAACAUAUCUGAGAGUAACUGUUCAGGUAUUGACGGUAUUUAACCAGAAAGCCACGGCUAACUACGUGCCAGCAGCCGCGGUAAUACGUAGGUGGCAAGCGUUGUCCGGAUUUAUUGGGCGUAAAGCGAGCGCAGGCGGUUUUUUAAGUCUGAUGUGAAAGCCUUCGGCUCAACCGAAGAAGUGCAUCGGAAACUGGGAAACUUGAGUGCAGAAGAGGACAGUGGAACUCCAUGUGUAGCGGUGAAAUGCGUAGAUAUAUGGAAGAACACCAGUGGCGAAGGCGGCUGUCUGGUCUGUAACUGACGCUGAGGCUCGAAAGUAUGGGUAGCAAACAGGAUUAGAUACCCCCAGUAGUCAA